RNAcentral lists this ribosomal RNA (459 nucleotides) under Salmonella enterica. RNAcentral's name for it is "bacterial SSU rRNA". It matches the Rfam family "Bacterial small subunit ribosomal RNA", at positions 1 to 456 of the family's 1533-position model. The record is from RNAcentral. Lineage: Bacteria; Pseudomonadati; Pseudomonadota; Gammaproteobacteria; Enterobacterales; Enterobacteriaceae.
AAAUUGAAGAGUUUGAUCAUGGCUCAGAUUGAACGCUGGCGGCAGGCCUAACACAUGCAAGUCGAACGGUAACAGGAAGCAGCUUGCUGCUUCGCUGACGAGUGGCGGACGGGUGAGUAAUGUCUGGGAAACUGCCUGAUGGAGGGGGAUAACUACUGGAAACGGUGGCUAAUACCGCAUAACGUCGCAAGACCAAAGAGGGGGACCUUCGGGCUUCUUGCCAUCAGAUGUGCCCAGAUGGGAUUAGCUUGUUGGUGAGGUAACGGCUCACCAAGGCGACGAUCCCUAGCUGGUCUGAGAGGAUGACCAGCCACACUGGAACUGAGACACGGUCCAGACUCCUACGGGAGGCAGCAGUGGGGAAUAUUGCACAAUGGGCGCAAGCCUGAUGCAGCCAUGCCGCGUGUAUGAAGAAGGCCUUCGGGUUGUAAAGUACUUUCAGCGGGGAGGAAGGUGUUG